UACGUAGGGUGCGAGCGUUGUCCGGAAUUACUGGGCGUAAAGAGCUCGUAGGUGGUUUGUCGCGUUGUUCGUGAAAACUCACAACUCAAUUGUGGGCGUGCGGGCGAUACGGGCAGACUGGAGUACUGCAGGGGAGACUGGAAUUCCUGGUGUAGCGGUGGAAUGCGCAGAUAUCAGGAGGAACACCGGUUGCGAAGGCGGGUCGCUGGGCAGGAACUGACGCUGAGGAGCGAAAGCGUGGGGAGCGAACAGG
This 253-nucleotide ribosomal RNA is filed under the name uncultured bacterium. RNAcentral describes it as "partial 16S ribosomal RNA". It matches the Rfam family "Bacterial small subunit ribosomal RNA", at positions 524 to 776 of the family's 1533-position model. The record is from RNAcentral.